This 511-nucleotide ribosomal RNA is filed under the name uncultured bacterium. RNAcentral's name for it is "bacterial SSU rRNA". It matches the Rfam family "Bacterial small subunit ribosomal RNA", at positions 29 to 517 of the family's 1533-position model. The record is from RNAcentral.
AGCGAACGUUAGCGGCGGGCCUAACACAUGCGAGUCGAACGCGAAAGGUCUUCGGACUGAGUAGAGUGGCGCACGGGUGAGUAACACGUAGGUAAUCUACCCUUUGGCGGGGGAUAACGUUCCGAAAGGAGCGCUAAUACCGCAUAAGACCACGGAGUCUCCGGACGCUGUGGGAAAAGGUGGCCUCUUCUUGAAAGCUACCACCGAAGGAUGAGCCUGCGUCCCAUCAGCUAGUUGGUAAGGUAAUGGCUUACCAAGGCGAAGACGGGUAGCUGGUUUGAGAGAAUGAUCAGCCACACUGGCGCUGGAACACGGGCCAGACUCCUACGGGAGGCAGCAGUGAGGAAUAUUGGGCAAUGGGCGAAAGCCUGACCCAGCCACGCCGCGUGAGUGAUGAAGGCCCUCGGGUCGUAAAGCUCUGUGGAGAGGGACGAAAACCCUGGUUUCAAAUAGGCUCCAGGCUUGACGGUACCUCUUUAGCAAGCACCGGCUAACUCUGUGCCAGCAGCCG